This is a long non-coding RNA of Bubalus bubalis (water buffalo), 559 nucleotides long. RefSeq lists it as uncharacterized. NCBI's taxonomy places the organism in Eukaryota, Metazoa, Chordata, Mammalia, Artiodactyla, Bovidae. The transcript has 3 exons. The record is from RefSeq and is a predicted model, not a curated record.
UAGAAUUUUAUUAAAGUAUAAAGGAGAUAGAGAAAGCUUCUGACAUUGACAUCAAAAGGGGGCAGAAAGAGUACCCCCUCACUAGUGUUAGCAAUGGAGUUAUAUACUUUUUAAUUACUUAUUACAGUGAGUCAAAAGAAUGCCUGGAGGUUGUAAAGACCUCAUUAGACCCACUCCCAUAAUUUACAUUUUAAGAUAACAGGAUUAGCCAGACGGUUUUUUCCAGAGACUGUCCUCAAGCAGAAUACAUUAUUGUUAUAUAAUCCUAAGGAAUGUAGAGAGAAAAAAAACGAUGGUCCUUUCUUCCUCCUUGAGAAUUCCAGACCUCUCUCUCCUUGGGGACCCCUAGACUUCUUAUCAACCUGCCUAGGAAUUGACUGUCUUGGGGGCAGUGGUCUGGGAGGUGAUCUAGGGUUAGCCUGCUGGGGAGAUGGUUGCCAUACAAGAUGUGACUCCGAGCUGUUGAAGAAGGUGGAUUUUUGACGGAGGGGCCUUCGGUUCAGUCGCUCAGUCGUGUCUUACUCUUUGUGACCCCAUGGACUGCAGCACACCAGGCCUC